AGAGUUUGAUCCUGGCUCAGGAUGAACGCUGGCGGCGUGCCUUAUACAUGCAAGUCAUACGGGCCGUUAUUUUUAAAUUGCAAAUUGUUAAUAAUGGCCAGUGGCGAACGGCUGAGUAACACGUGGGAACUUCCUUUAAGUUCGGAAUAACUCUCCGAAAGGAGAGCUAAUACCGGAUGUGCUCGCAAGAGCAAAGUCCGCCUCUGGCGGACGCUUAAAGCAAGGCCUGCGCACCAUCAGGUAGUUGGCGAGGUAAAAGCUCACCAAGCCUACGACGGUUAGAGGGCCCGAGAGGGUGUACCUCCAGACGGGGACUGCGACACGGCCCCGACUCCUACGGGAGGCAGCAGUAGGGAAUAUUGGACAAUGGGCGAAAGCCUGAUCCAGCGACGCCGCGUGCGGGAUGAAGGCCUUAGGGUUGUAAACCGCUUUUGUUGGGGAACAAUUUUUGAGCGUACCCGACGAAUAAGAGGUUGCUAACUCUGUGCCAGCAGCAGCGGUAAUACAGAGACCUCAAGCGUUAUCCGGAUUCAUUGGGCGUAAAGCGUGCCGAUCGGCUGUUUGGAAAGUCUUCUGUUAAAGCCUGCGGCUCAACCGUAGAAUCGCAGAAGAAACUUCUAGACUAGAGGGGCAAAGAGGUGCUUGGAACAAAUGGAGUAGCAGUGAAAUGCGUUGAUAUCAUUUGGAACACCAAAUGCGAAGGCAGAGCACUGGGUGCCACCUGACGCUGCUAGGACGAAAGCGUGGGUAGCGAAUGGGAUUAGAUACCCCAGUAGUCCACGCCGUAAACGAUGAUGACUAGUUAUUUGAGAGUGUCGACCCUCUUGAGUGACGUAGCUAACGCGUUAAGUCAUCCGCCUGGGGAGUACGGUCGCAAGACUAAAACUCAAAGGAAUUGACGGGGACCCGCACAAGCGGUGGAGCAUGUGGUUUAAUUCGACAAUAAGCGAGGAACCUUACCAGGGUUUGACAUGUACCUGCAAAUCCGCAGAAACGCGGACUCCUUCGAGGGUGGUACACAGAUGCUGCACGGUUGUCGUCAGCUCGUGUCGUGAGAUGUUGCCUUAAGUGGUAUAACGAGCGCAACCCCCAUUGAUCGUUUUAUUGUAUCUAUCAAAACUGCCAGCGUUUAAGCUGGAGGAAGGUGGGGAUGACGUCAAAUCAGCGUGGCUCUUACAUCCUGGGCUACACACAUGCUACAAUGGAUUGUUUACAGAGGGACGCAAUAUCGUAAGAUGGAGCAAAUCCCCAAAACUGUCCCAAGUUCGGAUUGAGGGCUGAAAUUCGCCCUCAUGAAGUUGGAAUCGCUAGUAAUCGUGGAUCAGCCUCGCCACGGUGAAUACGUUCUCGGGUUUUGUACACACCGCCCGUCACAUCAUGGAAGUCGUUAGUACUUAAAG
RNAcentral lists this ribosomal RNA (1400 nucleotides) under uncultured deep-sea bacterium. Its description in RNAcentral is "16S ribosomal RNA". It matches the Rfam family "Bacterial small subunit ribosomal RNA". The record is from RNAcentral.